RNAcentral lists this ribosomal RNA (147 nucleotides) under uncultured bacterium. RNAcentral's name for it is "partial 16S ribosomal RNA". It matches the Rfam family "Bacterial small subunit ribosomal RNA", at positions 1353 to 1500 of the family's 1533-position model. The record is from RNAcentral.
CAUACUGCCGUGAAUACGUUCCCGGGCCUUGUACACACCGCCCGUCACACCAUGAGAGUUGGGAAUACCCGAAGCCUGUGAGCUAACUUAUAGAGGNAGCAGUCGAAGGUAGAAUCAAUGAUUGGGGUGAAGUCGUAACAAGGUAGC